This 72-nucleotide transfer RNA is filed under the name Pedosphaera parvula Ellin514. It matches the Rfam family "tRNA". From Rfam's summary of the family: Transfer RNA (tRNA) molecules are approximately 80 nucleotides in length. Their secondary structure includes four short double-helical elements and three loops (D, anti-codon, and T loops). Further hydrogen bonds mediate the characteristic L-shaped molecular structure. tRNAs have two regions of fundamental functional importance: the anti-codon, which is responsible for specific mRNA codon recognition, and the 3' end, to which the tRNAs corresponding amino acid is attached (by aminoacyl-tRNA synthetases). tRNAs cope with the degeneracy of the genetic code in two manners: having more than one tRNA (with a specific anti-codon) for a particular amino acid; and 'wobble' base-pairing, i.e. permitting non-standard base-pairing at the 3rd anti-codon position. The record is from Rfam by way of RNAcentral. Lineage: Bacteria; Pseudomonadati; Verrucomicrobiota; Pedosphaerae; Pedosphaerales; Pedosphaeraceae.
GUCCGGUUGGCCGAGUAAUUAGGCAGCAGCCUGCAAAGCUGCAUUACAGGAGUGCAAUUCUCUUACCGGACU